This 483-nucleotide ribosomal RNA is filed under the name uncultured bacterium. Its description in RNAcentral is "partial 16S ribosomal RNA". It matches the Rfam family "Bacterial small subunit ribosomal RNA", at positions 30 to 507 of the family's 1533-position model. The record is from RNAcentral.
UUGAACGCUGGCGGCAGGCCUAACACAUGCAAGUCGAGCGGAUGAAGGGAGCUUGCUCCUGGAUUCAGCGGCGGACGGGUGAGUAAUGCCUAGGAAUCUGCCUGGCAGUGGGGGAUAACGUCCGGAAACGGGCGCUAAUACCGCAUACGUCCCGAGGGAGAAAGUGGGGGAUCUUCGGACCUCACGCUAUCAGAUGAGCCUAGGUCGGAUUAGCUAGUUGCUGGGGUAAAGUCCUACCAAGGCGACGUUCCGUAACUGGUCUGAGAGGAUGAUCAGUCACACUGGAACUGAGAAACGGUACAGACUCCUACGGUAGGCAGCAGUGGGGAAUAUUGGACAAUGGGCGGAAGCCUGAUCCAGCCAUGCCGCGUGUGUGAAGAAGGUCUUCGGAUUGUAAAGCACUUUAAGUUGGGAGGAAGGGCAGUAAGUUAAUACCUUGCUGUUUUGACGUUACCAACAGAAUAAGCACCGGCUAACUUCGUG